This 340-nucleotide long non-coding RNA is filed under the name Prunus persica (peach). RNAcentral's name for it is "long non-coding RNA (PPER_LNC005126)". The record is from RNAcentral. Lineage: Eukaryota; Viridiplantae; Streptophyta; Magnoliopsida; Rosales; Rosaceae.
GCUGUUAUGGUGUCCUUCACACAUUCCCUCUGGUUGUGUCCCGACCCGAGAUCUCAACGACCAGCCACUGCUCUUCGGUUUCAUGGAUGAGGAUACUUCAAAAGUGCUCUUUGCACUAGCUUCUAGGAUUAUGGUAUUGCUCUUUGUGUGGGUGGUUUGUCCACCACCAUUCUCCGCUCUAAGCAACGGUUUGUCUGGUUACUGAUUACCCAUCUUUAGUGGUUGUGAAUUUGCGGCGACGGAGCGGCAAGGGGAAAGUGGCGGAUGUAGCUUCUCAGAUUUAGGGUUCUUCCUUUGUGUUUGUAUUGGGCUAGAUGUUUGUUUUAGGGUUUUCCUUUAU